AUAUAUACACACACACAUAUAUGUAUGCACACACACACACACAUAUAUAUAAAUAUACAUAUUUGUGUGUGUGUGUUUAU
RNAcentral lists this microRNA precursor (80 nucleotides) under Podarcis lilfordi (Lilford's wall lizard). Lineage: Eukaryota; Metazoa; Chordata; Lepidosauria; Squamata; Lacertidae. The record is from RNAcentral.